Long non-coding RNA from Bos taurus (domestic cattle), 1409 nucleotides. The record is from Ensembl. Lineage: Eukaryota; Metazoa; Chordata; Mammalia; Artiodactyla; Bovidae.
AGGCUAUUCAAGAUGGAGAAGACUUCACAGAAAAACAGAAUGUUCUUCAUUUUAAGAAAAAGAGAUUUUGUUUCUCAUAAGUGGCCCCUGGCACUGUUUCCAAUGCCAGGGGUUUGGAUUCAGUUGAAACUUCGCACUUCAUAAAGAAAUGCUUUCAGCAACUCAGACAGAAUAAUUCAGAGGGGAGGUUUAGCCCUCCCCUUCCUUCUUCUGUUUCCCAUGCCCCUUGUUCUUAGUUCCUUUUCUCUCCUCAUUUGCCCCUGUGUUGAAAAGAACCUUGUAGCUUUUAAAAGUGCUUCCUGCAGGGCCUUAUUUUCAGAAUUUUCACUGGAGAUGUUUGGUGUGUUUUAGGUGAGGCCACGCUGUCUCCCCUUGGCUCCUGGCCGCUCUCAUUUUCUCCCUUGAUUUACUUCGUUCUUCUCCCUCCUCUCAAACCCUCUGUCCUUUCACCUCCUGUUUCUCUCUUUCCAUUAAACUUCCUCUCCUCUCAACCUCCCACCUCCCCCUCCACCAGCAGUCCUUCUCCCCACACACACCACAGGAGAGAGGAGAGUGGUGGGAGGUUUAAGUUCAUUACCCACAGAGUAGCUUUUCUUAUCAAUGCAUAUUCCUUUGUUUCAAUGAAAGAAGAAAAGGAAAAACUAAAACCCACCACUUUGUAGUUAGCCCAGUUUUCCUGUCUCCCCUAGUAUGCCUUAGAAGUCUGACUCAGAUAUUUAUCACCCUGAUUGUAAAAUAUAGCAAACCCAGAAAGUGAAUGCUUUUCAGAGAGUAGCUCUUUUUGAAAAACAAAUUUCUCUAUUUUUUUAAAUUGGCAUAUAAUCAGAGAGUAGCUCUUAAUAUACAACUUUUCACAUUUGUGUGCCCUUGUCCCAUAGGGGCAGUAGGCAUAUCAUGCCCAGGCUUUCAGGUAAGGAGUGAGCACAGAUUAAAGGGGCUUCCACUUUGUUUUUAUAAAAUUGUGUUUUCUACAUGAGUCUCUCCCAUAAAAGCGUUUAGACAUAAGUGAAAAUCUGGGCAGUCUUUGUGAAAGUAAUUUUAGGCCUGAUGUUUUGGGGGGGAAGUUACAGAAUGCUCCCAGGUAAUAGAGGUUAAAAAGGUAAACAAAAGACAUUUACUCUGGUUUUGAUCAGAAGGGAAAGAAGAAGGGAAAUCUGAAGUAGCAACUUGGAGAGAAAUAUAACAGUCAAGUUAGCUUGAAGUUCUGGAGCUAAGGUGGUAGGACAUAACAGACUCAGCUGAGGUCUGACUCAGAGAUAAGAAAGAGCUCUGAGUUAGACUUAUUCUAAGGAAGACUAUUGAUAAGAGCAGGAUUACAGUAAACUGUGACAGAUAUGUGACGAGUGAAUGUUAAUGAGAAGACAUCAGAUUGGAUCUUAGGUUUUUUUUUACACAACACAGUAUAUGAC